Molecule: long non-coding RNA, 1034 nt
Filed under: Sphaeramia orbicularis (orbiculate cardinalfish)
Lineage: Eukaryota; Metazoa; Chordata; Actinopteri; Kurtiformes; Apogonidae
Description: lncRNA (ENSSORG00005020067.1)
Source: RNAcentral
GCAGAUAUUAUUCUUCACCGAGGUUUUAUGCGAUUUUAAAGUCACGUUAAGGACCUAAAAUCAGUUAGAGUGUGACUUGGCGGUUUUUUCCUGAACGGUUUUGUUGCGACUUAAUGCAUUCCUAAUUGGGAUUUAAACAUACUUUCAUAAAUUAGCUGUGGGCUAACGGCGUUCGCUAGCAAGGUAACUAGUUAGCACGGCGUGCUAGCUAGACCACUAGCUAAUUCUUAGCUAUCUAGCUAACUGUUAGCUCAUUGCGUGGUAAAUAACAUGUUAUUUAUGGAGACUGUUAGCCUUUGAAACAGCUCCAGCGACCUUCCCCUCAGGUCGAAUGACGCAAAUUAAGCGUAAUUUUGUUUUGCUCUAUUGGCAGGCAAACUGAAAGCAGUUACAGCAUUAAUCUUUAAACUAGCGGCGUUAAUUCUAAAACUUUUGAGUCAUGUUGAAUAAAAUCUACGAAUGGAUAGAAACAAGCUUUGCCAGUUUUCGCAAUGGUGUGCCAGCAGCGGAGCCCUCGGAUGCACCCCAGCUACCGGGAGAUGGUCAAAGGAGAAGGAAAAGACCAAUAGAAUGCUUGGAAGACGGACAUAACCUGGACCAAGACGGCCAGCUGAUAAAGAAAUCUCGAAUGGGUAAUUGUAGAAUCACCCUUUACUUAAUAUUUUGCCAGUGAAUGUGCGCAUAUAAUUAAAUACUGAAUUGACAACUAACAGCCUUGUCUGUAUCAUAAUUGUUACUAAUUUUGCAGGAGAUCUGAUCGACACUGUUAAAACUGCAGCUGAAGGAGUAAGACUCAUGGGUCUAGCGUGGCUACAUGGAUGAGGGAACAAUGUGAGUCCUACUUUGAAAAAUAUAUUGCCUGCCUCCCCUGGUCCUCCACCUAGAUGAAUCCCAGCCUUCAACAUCAGCUGCAGUCUGGGCAGGGAGACCGGUUUGUAGUGAAUUUAUUGUACUUGAGUAAUUUUGUCAAAGAUGUUACCCUUAAAAAAUGGCAAUAAAUGUAUGUGUGGUUAAAGGUUAUGGAACGGAAUUCU